CAACCCGGGAUUGCCUUAGUAACGGCGAGUGAAGCGGCAAAAGCUCAAAUUUGAAAUCUGGUACCUUCGGUGCCCGAGUUGUAAUUUGGAGAGGGCAACUUUGGGGCCGUUCCUUGUCUAUGUUCCUUGGAACAGGACGUCAUAGAGGGUGAGAAUCCCGUGUGGCGAGGAGUGCGGUUCUUUGUAAAGUGCCUUCGAAGAGUCGAGUUGUUUGGGAAUGCAGCUCUAAGUGGGUGGUAAAUUCCAUCUAAAGCUAAAUAUUGGCGAGAGACCGAUAGCGAACAAGUACAGUGAUGGAAAGAUGAAAAGAACUUUGAAAAGAGAGUGAAAAAGUACGUGAAAUUGUUGAAAGGGAAGGGCAUUUGAUCAGACAUGGUGUUUUGUGCCCUCUGCUCCUUGUGGGUAGGGGAAUCUCGCAUUUCACUGGGCCAGCAUCAGUUUUGGUGGCAGGAUAAAUCCAUAGGAAUGUAGCUUGCCUCGGUAAGUAUUAUAGCCUGUGGGAAUACUGCCAGCUGGGACUGAGGACUGCGACGUAAGUCAAGGAUGCUGGCAUAAUGGUUAUAUGCCGCCCGUCUUGAACCCGGG
This 585-nucleotide ribosomal RNA is filed under the name Saccharomyces cf. cerevisiae/paradoxus. RNAcentral describes it as "LSU rRNA". It matches the Rfam family "Eukaryotic large subunit ribosomal RNA", at positions 66 to 664 of the family's 3401-position model. The record is from RNAcentral. Lineage: Eukaryota; Fungi; Ascomycota; Saccharomycetes; Saccharomycetales; Saccharomycetaceae.